This 377-nucleotide ribosomal RNA is filed under the name uncultured bacterium. RNAcentral describes it as "bacterial SSU rRNA". It matches the Rfam family "Bacterial small subunit ribosomal RNA", at positions 29 to 407 of the family's 1533-position model. The record is from RNAcentral.
AUUAAACGCUGGCGGCAUGCCUUACACAUGCAAGUCGAACGGCAGCACGGGGGCAACCCUGGUGGCGAGUGGCGGACGGGUGAGUAAUACAUCGGAACGUGCCCUGGAGUGGGGGGAUAACGCAGCGAAAGCUACGCUAAUACCGCAUAUUCUGUGAGCAGGAAAGCAGGGGAUCGCAAGACCUUGCGCUUUGGGAGCGGCCGAUGUCGGAUUAGCUAGUUGGUGGGGUAAAGGCCGUACCAAGGCGACGAUCCGUAGCGGGUCUGAGAGGAUGAUCCGCCACACUGGGACUGAGACACGGCCCAGACUCCUACGGAGGCAGCAUGGGGAAUUUUGGACAAUGGGCGGAAGCCUGAUCCAGCCAUGCCGCGUGAGUG